GAUGAACGCUGGCGGCGUGCCUAAUACAUGCAAGUCGAGCGAACGGACGAGAAGCUUGCUUCUCUGAUGUUAGCGGCGGACGGGUGAGUAACACGUGGAUAACCUACCUAUAAGACUGGGAUAACUUCGGGAAACCGGAGCUAAUACCGGAUAAUAUUUUGAACCGCAUGGUUCAAAAGUGAAAGACGGUCUUGCUGUCACUUAUAGAUGGAUCCGCGCUGCAUUAGCUAGUUGGUAAGGUAACGGCUUACCAAGGCAACGAUGCAUAGCCGACCUGAGAGGGUGAUCGGACACACUAGAACUGAGACACGGUCCAGACUCCUACGGGAGGCAGCAGUAGGGAAUCUUCCGCAAUGGGCGAAAGCCUGACGGAGCAACGCCGCGUGAGUGAUGAAGGUCUUCGGAUCGUAAAACUCUGUUAUUAGGGAAGAACAUAUGUGUAAGUAACUGUGCACAUCUUGACGGUACCUAAUCAGAAAGCCACGGCUAACUACGUG
RNAcentral lists this ribosomal RNA (497 nucleotides) under uncultured bacterium. Its description in RNAcentral is "partial 16S ribosomal RNA". It matches the Rfam family "Bacterial small subunit ribosomal RNA", at positions 28 to 507 of the family's 1533-position model. The record is from RNAcentral.